GACGAACGCUGGCGGCGUGCUUAACACAUGCAAGUCGAACGGAAAGGCCCUGCUUGCAGGGUACUCGAGUGGCGAACGGGUGAGUAACACGUGGGUGAUCUGCCCUGCACUUCGGGAUAAGCCUGGGAAACUGGGUCUAAUACCGGAUAGGAGCCAUUUUUCGUGUGAUGGUUGGAAAGUUUUUUCGGUGUAGGAUGAGCUCGCGGCCUAUCAGCUUGUUGGUGGGGUAAUGGCCUACCAAGGCGGCGACGGGUAGCCGGCCUGGGAGGGUGGACGGCCACAUUGGGACUGAGAUACGGCCCAGACUCCUACGGGAGGCAGCAGUGGGGAAUAUUGCACAAUGGGCGCAAGCCUGAUGCAGCGACGCCGCGUGGGGGAUGACGGCCUUCGGGUUGUAAACUCCUUUCGCUAGGGACGAAGCUUUUUGUGACGGUACCUAGAUAAGAAGCACCGGCUAACUACGUG
RNAcentral lists this ribosomal RNA (465 nucleotides) under uncultured bacterium. Its description in RNAcentral is "partial 16S ribosomal RNA". It matches the Rfam family "Bacterial small subunit ribosomal RNA", at positions 28 to 507 of the family's 1533-position model. The record is from RNAcentral.